GAUGGAAUUCAACUAUUUGACCAAAUAACCCUCCUUCACAAUUCAAUCCUACAUAGUUCUUCAAACAAUCUCGCACCAUCAAUUCGUCACACGGAAGCGAUACAUGGAUCCCUUUGCACGAGGAGUUUAAGUUAGAUGUAUUAUAUUCAAGUGUUAUAUAUUCUUGUUGUUUGAUUUUAAUUAUUGAUUGUUGUUCACUUGUUCGUGGCUCAAAAACUUCAAGAUCUGAAGAAAGAGCUCCAAUAUUAUUUAUAUUAUUUUCAUUAAUAAAAUAAUAUUUUUUUUAUUUU
This is a long non-coding RNA of Erigeron canadensis, 290 nucleotides long. RefSeq lists it as uncharacterized. The transcript is spliced from 2 exons. The record is from RefSeq and is a predicted model, not a curated record. Lineage: Eukaryota; Viridiplantae; Streptophyta; Magnoliopsida; Asterales; Asteraceae.